CAGUCUUUCAUGAACUAAGCCUGAGUCAUUGCCUGAGUGCUGACAACUCCCACUGCAGUGACUGGGGACAGGGCACAAGUAGCCGGGCUAGCUUCUGAAGAAGGAAUAUUCUUCCAUCUCAGAGUCAGAGGGCAGAUAUGAGGGGUGGGCAGAGCCAGAUGUGCCCCUGUCCAUGGGGGUGAUCGAACCCCAGAUGCUGCUCUCACCACUCAACACAGUGGAGUUUCACUGGAACCUCCCAAUGCAGUUUGGAGUUUUAAGUUGCAAGUUUCAAGUAUCUUGAAGUUUCAAGAGGAUCUCCCUCUUCCGGUGGGUGAGUCUGAAGCUGGGACUGGGUGGAGGCUGGAGGUCCUUUGGGAGUGGAAGCAGGCCUGGUGGGAAAGGAAGGGGAAUUUGGGUGGGGGUGAGGAAAUAGUAAGAACAAACCCAGUUCCAGAAAGCACUUUGAAGAUAAAAUAUGGCUAAAUGUUUAUUGAAUCUCACCAUAAGGAAGGACUUGUUUUUGUUUCUUCUUUGUGUGUGUGUGUUUAAGAUUCCAUUUAUUUAUUUGACAGAGAGCGUGAGAGAUCACAAGUAGGCAGAGAGGUGGAAACAGUCUCCCAACAUGGGGCUUGAUCCCAGGAUCUUGAGAUUAGGGCCAGAGCCAGAGGCAGAGGUUUAACCCACUAAGCCACCCAGGUGCCCCCCAAGGAAGUACUUGUUAAACCUGAAAGCAAUGGAAGAAGCUAGAAAACUCAGGAUGCAACUUAGCUUCAAAAAAAGUAAUGGUCUGCAAUACAUAGGCAAAAUUCAAAGGAGGCAUCAAAUGGGAAAAAUAGUUGUCAUAUGACAUAUGUUUAUAGCCUCCAUAUAUAAAAAGUUCUCAUAUAUCAAUAAGAAAAAUAGAUAAAAGCUCAAUAGAAAAGUAGGCAAAGGAUAUAAGCAGAUAAUUUAUGCAAGAAGGAUACAAAUU
Molecule: long non-coding RNA, 952 nt
Filed under: Mustela putorius furo (domestic ferret)
Lineage: Eukaryota; Metazoa; Chordata; Mammalia; Carnivora; Mustelidae
Description: lncRNA (ENSMPUG00000027586.1)
Source: RNAcentral